CAUUGAAAUCAAAAAACAUUGCAAUUUUAAUCGGGACGAGGGUUUUAAGAUCUCAUCCACAUGGAAUCCAGUCAUUAGUAAAUGUAAGCGGAAACGAAUAUCGACAUGACAUCCCUAGUGCGCAAAACGUUCAAACUGAUAAACAAGACCAAGUGCGGGUAGUUCGAAAAACUCGCGCGGCUAGAAGAUGUUGAUGUCAACUUUAGCCAGUCUUCUCCGAGACCACGGGGACAACGCCGUCCUCGAAACGU
Cydia fagiglandana is the source of this 251-nucleotide long non-coding RNA. RefSeq lists it as uncharacterized. The record is from RefSeq and is a predicted model, not a curated record. NCBI's taxonomy places the organism in Eukaryota, Metazoa, Arthropoda, Insecta, Lepidoptera, Tortricidae. The transcript is spliced from 2 exons.